Long non-coding RNA from Canis lupus familiaris (dog), 1433 nucleotides. RefSeq lists it as uncharacterized. NCBI's taxonomy places the organism in Eukaryota, Metazoa, Chordata, Mammalia, Carnivora, Canidae. The transcript has 3 exons. The record is from RefSeq and is a predicted model, not a curated record.
GGGUGAAAAGUGCGGAGAAGGGUGGCAGUUGGCUUUGUAAAAGCCAUGGCCAUACUAAGUGGUUUGAAUUGCUUCUAUUGUUCUUCCCCAUGGGUCUGAGGUUUACUGGACGUGCUGACCUGAAUGCCGAUGGCCCCAUGGUGAUAAAGAAAACUGAGCCUGGAGAAGUUGAGCAAAGUGCCCAAGGGUUGCUCAGCCUUAGUUCUUUGUGAUGCCAAGGUUUGGGUGGCAGUUGGGGGGAAGAGAAAGUUAGCCCAGAAGACAUGGAAUUGCUGGGCCAACCAACUGGAAGCAAAGCACAGUAUGGAUUUGCAUGUACUUAUACCUCCUCCGCCCCAAGGCCGCUCCACAGACUUGAACCUCCCGACCCUCCAGAAUAGGAGAGAAUUGAAUUGGGUUCCACUUAAGUUCCUGGAGGUUGGCAUGUUCCCCGUGGGCACUCAGUAAAUAUUGACCAAAUUGAAGGUUGCCCUGUGUUAUCUUCCUUUUUCUCUUUUUCCUUCCCUGGUCCUCUGGGUGUUUCUGGGGCCUUGAAAAUUUACAUAUAUUUUUCUUUAAUAUUUUUUUUUUCAGUCUUUCUGUCUCAUCAGUUCUCAGUGUGAGGCGGCUCUAUUUUAAUAUCAUUUUUUCAUAUUUGUUUUCUCUGUGUCUGGAUCUUCUCUCAGUUUCUGUUUUCUUUCUCUGAGAGUCUCCCUCUCUGUUCAUCCACUCCUCCUGUCUAUCUCUCUGCCUGUCUGUCUCUCUCUAUACACACAUACCUUUCUUUUUUGUGUUUGCUCACCUCCUGGAGUCAUCAUCUAAAGGGGUUCAGAAUCAGCCUCCCCAAAAUGUGCCACUUUGGCAUGUGGAUUCUUUGAGCUGAAGUCAGUCAAGGUCCAAAAGAUUCAGCAAGAGCUUUUUACCAUCCUCUGAGCUACCCAAGAGAAUUUAGAUAGAGGGCCUCAUCCAGGAAGAGAGCAAUCACCAGGCAUAACUAUAAGGAAUAGGGGCAAGUGUGGUAAACAGGGGAGAAGGAAGAGCAGAGAGGGCCUGAAGACCAACUUUCUGGGUCCCGUUACCUCUGCUUUGCAUGGCAAACAUUUGUUUGCCAAACAUUUGCUCUUCUCCUUUUCCUAUGAAUUAUCUUCCUCCUCUUUGAGGUCUCAGACUCCUAUCUCCUUCUCCUUAGCUCAGGAUGGCAUGUAAGCCUUACUUGCCUGACUGGCUGGGGAUAUCCUAUUGUUUUGGGGGCUCCCAUACGCAUGCAAUUAAAUUUGUUUUUCUUCUGUUAAUUUUUCUUAUGACAACUUAAUAAGUAGACUAGCCAAAAGAGUCUAGAAGAGUAGAAGGAAAUUUUUUCAUCCCCUAUGCACAAAAAAUCAUUGCCUUUAUUUUUUGAGAAAUUAGACAUAGUUGGAGAUUUUUUUUAAGUUCUCAUAAUAAUUAAUUUUACA